AUUGAACGCUGGCGGCAGGCUUAACACAUGCAAGUCGAGCGGGGGAAGGUAGCUUGCUACUGGACCUAGCGGCGGACGGGUGAGUAAUGCUUAGGAAUCUGCCUAUUAGUGGGGGACAACAUCUCGAAAGGGAUGCUAAUACCGCAUACGUCCUAAGGGAGAAAGCAGGGGAUCUUCGGACCUUGCGCUAAUAGAUGAGCCUAAGUCGGAUUAGCUAGUUGGUGGGGUAAAGGCCUACCAAGGAGACGAUCUGUAGCGGGUCUGAGAGGAUGAUCCGCCACACUGGGACUGAGACACGGCCCAGACUCCUACGGGAGGCAGCAGUGGGGAAUAUUGGACAAUGGGGGGAACCCUGAUCCAGCCAUGCCGUGUGUGUGAAGAAGGCCUUAUGGUUGUAAAGCACUUUAAGCGAGGAGGAGGCUACUCUAGUUAAUACCUAGGGAUAGUGGACGUUACUCGCAGAAUAAGCACCGGCUAACCCUGUGCCAGCCGCCGCCGUAA
This 501-nucleotide ribosomal RNA is filed under the name uncultured bacterium. Its description in RNAcentral is "partial 16S ribosomal RNA". It matches the Rfam family "Bacterial small subunit ribosomal RNA", at positions 30 to 523 of the family's 1533-position model. The record is from RNAcentral.